ACUCAAAGGAAUAGACGGGGGCCCGCACAAGCAGCGGAGCGUGUGGUUUAAUUCGAUGCAACGCGAAGAACCUUACCAGGGCUUGACAUGGCGCGUUCAGCCGGCGAAAGCCGGUGGCCGCAAGGCGAGCGUCACAGGUGCUGCAUGGCUGUCGUCAGCUCGUGCCGUGAGGUGUUGGGUUAAGUCCCGCAACGAGCGCAACCCCCGGGCCCAGUUGUGUUUCUGGGCCGACGGCCGGGACCAACCCGGAGGAAGGUGGGGACGACGUCAAGUCAGCACGGCCCUUACGUCCUGGGCUACACACACGCUACAAUGGCCGGUACAGCGGGCGGUGCGAAGCCGCGAGGCGGAGCGAAUCCCUGCAAAGCCGGCCGUAGUGCAGAUCGGGGGCUGCAACCCGCCCCCGUGAAGCCGGAGUUGCUAGUAACCGCGGGUCAGCACACCGCGGUGAAUACGUUCCCGGGCCUUGUACACACCGCCCGU
RNAcentral lists this ribosomal RNA (483 nucleotides) under uncultured bacterium. RNAcentral's name for it is "partial 16S ribosomal RNA". It matches the Rfam family "Bacterial small subunit ribosomal RNA", at positions 899 to 1397 of the family's 1533-position model. The record is from RNAcentral.